Molecule: long non-coding RNA, 961 nt
Organism: Drosophila santomea
Lineage: Eukaryota; Metazoa; Arthropoda; Insecta; Diptera; Drosophilidae
Exons: 3
Source: RefSeq, a predicted model, not a curated record
AAAAACGCGAAGCUAAACAAGUGAAACCGAGAAAAAAAGCGUAAAAUCUGGAUACCCGCUUUUGGACCUUGAACAAGGUGAUGUUGAUUGCUAAGUUGCUGUUGCUAGUGCGGCUGAUCGCUGCCAUUGUUGUCGACACCUCGUUGUUGUUUUGAAGUUCAAAGUUAACGAAACGAGUCGAAAGAGAGACGAGACGAAAGAGAGACGAGACGCAGCUGAGGAGGAGGAAGCACGAGCAAUGCGAAGAAAACAAAGAGAACAAGGAAAGGGACCAUCGACAACAGAAACAUAUAAACAUAUAAACAUGGCAGAUGAGCCGAGUUGCAGACAACACGGCGUAUGCGUAAUCAAUCAACUGCUGUGGCUGAGAAGUGGGACACAACUGCGCGGCACUAGCACCAUGGUCCCCACCCGAAGUCCCGCUGAGCAGCCAGCUUGUCACCCGGACGGGCCAUUGUCUUUCUUCAGCUGCGGAGAUGUGCGUGAGUCGCGUGAGGAUUCCCUCACGGACACUAGGCUUCUUUUUUUUUCGUUCUUGCUUGUUUUGAGUUCGAAUCAGGUGAGUAAUGAGUACAUUCCGAAAGAUGUUGUUCUAAUGUAUCUUUUCUUGUGCCAAUACAACUGCGCUGACGUGAGUCAUAAAGAUACAUUGAAUGCGAAUGUUACGUAUACGCCCUGAAGUGCAGCAGCGAUUGUGGAACCUGUAGAAGCCAUAAACUAAUGCCAGUAAUGAUGGAUUGGAAAUUGUAAGCUUUUUGCCUUCCCGUUUGGGCCGUGAGUCGUAAAACCCACAGAGUUUUUAUUUGGCACCGCUCUGAGCAUCUCUAGCUGGCACUUUGGGCCCGCCCAAAAAGCCGCUCAGACGCUACGGCGGACAGCUCUGCUUUUGAUUAAGCUCAUUUGCAUUUGAAUGGCACUGCUGGACGGUUUGCUGGAUGGUUUUAUGUUACUCCACAGGCGA